AGAGCGAACGCUGGCGGCAGGCCUAACACAUGCAAGUCGAGCGCCCGUAGCAAUACGGGAGCGGCAGACGGGAUAGUAACACGUGGGAACGCGCCCUUCGGUUCGGAAUAACUCAGGGAAACUUGAGCUAAUACCGGAUACGCCCUUACGGGGAAAGAUUUAUUGCCGAAGGAACGGCCCGCGUCCGAUUAGCUAGUUGGUGAGGUAAUGGCUCACCAAGGCGACGAUCGGUAGCUGGUCUGAGAGGAUGACCAGCAUCACUGGGACUGAGACACGGCCCAGACUCCUACGGGAGGCAGCAGUGGGGAAUAUUGGACAAUGGGCGCAAGCCUGAUCCAGCCAUGCCGCGUGGAUGAUGAAGGCCUUAGGGUUGUAAAGUCCUUUUAACGGGGAAGAUAAUGACGGUACCCGUAGAGUAAGCCCCGGCUAACUUCGUGCCAGCAGCCGC
RNAcentral lists this ribosomal RNA (448 nucleotides) under uncultured bacterium. RNAcentral's name for it is "SSU rRNA". It matches the Rfam family "Bacterial small subunit ribosomal RNA", at positions 26 to 518 of the family's 1533-position model. The record is from RNAcentral.